RNAcentral lists this ribosomal RNA (503 nucleotides) under uncultured bacterium. RNAcentral describes it as "partial 16S ribosomal RNA". It matches the Rfam family "Bacterial small subunit ribosomal RNA", at positions 28 to 523 of the family's 1533-position model. The record is from RNAcentral.
GGUAAACGCUAGCGGCAGGCUUAACACAUGCAAGUCGAGGGGCAGCAUAGAUUGUAGCAAUACAAUUGGUGGCGACCGGCGCACGGGUGCGUAACGCGUAUGCAACCUACCCGUCACAGGGGGAUAAUCCGGAGAAAUCUGGUCUAAUACCCCAUAACAUAUGGAUCGGCAUCGGUUCAUGUUGAAAUUUUCGGAGGUGACGGAUGGGCAUGCGUAGCAUUAGCUUGUUGGUGAGGUAACGGCUCACCAAGGCGACGAUGCUUAGGGGGACUGAGAGGUGUUCCACCACACUGGUACUGAGACACGGACCAGACUCCUACGGGAGGCAGCAGUGAAGAAUAUUGGUCAAUGGGCGCAAGCCUGAACCAGCCAUGCCGCGUGCAGGAUGACGGCUCUAUGAGUUGUAAACUGCUUUUGUACGAGGGUAAAGUGGGUUACGUGUAACCUUUUGAAAGUAUCGUACGAAUAAGGAUCGGCUAACUCCGUGCCAGCCGCCGCGGUAA